AAAUUUCCGGGUUUAAAUAUUUCUUUUUUUUUUCUUUGAGGGAGACAUAAUCAUAGUUUUAAGUUGUGUUUGGGUUCAUGGUGAUGCCAUAGAGCUCAGUGACCUAAAAAUUUCACCUGUCGUAUGAGGAUGGAGCCAUCACUUAAGAAGUCAGGAUUGCAUUGCAACUCAAGGUCCUAGUUGACGGUGAUUAUACGGUCAUGAGUUCUAGUGUAACUAGGGUUUCAAGUUUACAAAGGUUAUACUGUCAAGGGAUAGAGUAUAGCUAGGGGACCUAGUUGGCAGUG
This 287-nucleotide long non-coding RNA is filed under the name Gossypium raimondii (Peruvian cotton). Its description in RNAcentral is "long non-coding RNA (GRAI_LNC001369)". Lineage: Eukaryota; Viridiplantae; Streptophyta; Magnoliopsida; Malvales; Malvaceae. The record is from RNAcentral.